CAGUUUUGUCUCGGAGGUUCGCUUUCCGGGCUGAACUUGAGGCAUCGUCUGACAGUCGCGACCAGCGGAGUCUCCGGUGUGUUGGACACCGAGUUCAGAAACGAUUUCGAACUAUGAAAGUCAUCGGCGAGGUAAACGCCCAAGACAUCGGCGAUGGAUCCUCCAACAGUUGACUAGCCGAAGAGAUGGAACUAUCGUUGUGAGUCGUAGCUUUCUCGGCCACGGUUUCGUCUCGUUCCACGAUCGUCUCACUUUGUAGAUAGAAUCUACGCAAGAUGAGGAGAUUUCAGUUCACGCGGUAUAGAAUAUAAUCACCGUUUAAGAGGAUGCUGCAGGAUUGACCAUAAAUUUAAUCUCAACUAGGUUACUGGCAAGAGUUCAGUGAUGGCAAUAGAAUAACCACAUGAUCAAGAAAGGCUGAUCGAAGAACGAGUGUAUGGGAAAACAGGUCGUAGGGAAGCGUCGUUAUCGAGUGAGAUUAAA
Long non-coding RNA from Bombus impatiens (common eastern bumble bee), 483 nucleotides. RefSeq lists it as uncharacterized. Lineage: Eukaryota; Metazoa; Arthropoda; Insecta; Hymenoptera; Apidae. The record is from RefSeq and is a predicted model, not a curated record. The transcript is spliced from 3 exons.